Molecule: ribosomal RNA, 716 nt
Filed under: uncultured Staphylococcus sp.
Lineage: Bacteria; Bacillati; Bacillota; Bacilli; Caryophanales; Staphylococcaceae
Description: bacterial SSU rRNA
Rfam family: Bacterial small subunit ribosomal RNA
Source: RNAcentral
CAAGUCGAGCGAACAGACGAGGAGCUUGCUCCUCUGACGUUAGCGGCGGACGGGUGAGUAACACGUGGAUAACCUACCUAUAAGACUGGGAUAACUUCGGGAAACCGGAGCUAAUACCGGAUAAUAUAUUGAACCGCAUGGUUCAAUAGUGAAAGACGGUUUUGCUGUCACUUAUAGAUGGAUCCGCGCCGCAUUAGCUAGUUGGUAAGGUAACGGCUUACCAAGGCGACGAUGCGUAGCCGACCUGAGAGGGUGAUCGGCCACACUGGAACUGAGACACGGUCCAGACUCCUACGGGAGGCAGCAGUAGGGAAUCUUCCGCAAUGGGCGAAAGCCUGACGGAGCAACGCCGCGUGGGUGAUGAAGGUCUUCGGAUCGUAAAACUCUGUUAUUAGGGAAGAACAAAUGUGUAAGUAACUAUGCACGUCUUGACGGUACCUAAUCAGAAAGCCACGGCUAACUACGUGCCAGCAGCCGCGGUAAUACGUAGGUGGCAAGCGUUAUCCGGAAUUAUUGGGCGUAAAGCGCGCGUAGGCGGUUUUUUAAGUCUGAUGUGAAAGCCCACGGCUCAACCGUGGAGGGUCAUUGGAAACUGGAAACUUGAGUGCAGAAGAGGAAAGUGGAAUUCCAUGUGUAGCGGGGAAUGCGCAGAGAUAUGGAGGAACACCAGUGGCGAAGGCGACUUUCUGGUCUGUAACUGACGCUGAUGUGCGAAA